RNAcentral lists this ribosomal RNA (253 nucleotides) under uncultured bacterium. RNAcentral describes it as "partial 16S ribosomal RNA". It matches the Rfam family "Bacterial small subunit ribosomal RNA", at positions 524 to 776 of the family's 1533-position model. The record is from RNAcentral.
UACGGAGGAUCCGAGCGUUAUCCGGAUUUAUUGGGUUUAAAGGGUGCGUAGGCGGCCUUGUAAGUCAGGGGUGAAAGACGGUAGCUCAACUAUCGCAGUGCCUUUGAUACUGCAGGGCUUGAAUGUACUUGAGGUAGGCGGAAUGUGACAAGUAGCGGUGAAAUGCAUAGAUAUGUCACAGAACACCAAUUGCGAAGGCAGCUUACUAAAGUAUGAUUGACGCUGAGGCACGAAAGCGUGGGGAUCAAACAGG